This 399-nucleotide ribosomal RNA is filed under the name uncultured bacterium. Its description in RNAcentral is "bacterial SSU rRNA". It matches the Rfam family "Bacterial small subunit ribosomal RNA", at positions 355 to 750 of the family's 1533-position model. The record is from RNAcentral.
UAAGGAAUAUUGGGCAAUGGACGGAAGUCUGACCCAGCCAUGCCGCGUGCAGGAAGACGGCCCUCUGGGUUGUAAACUGCUUUUAGCAGGGGAUAAUGAUCUGUACGGGAUAUAGAUUUGAAGGUACCUGUUGAAUAAGCAUCGGCUAACUCCGUGCCAGCAGCCGCGGUAAUACGGAGGAUGCGAGCGUUAUCCGGAUUCAUUGGGUUUAAAGGGUGCGCAGGCGGACUAAUAAGUCAGCGGUGAAAUACUACGGCUCAACUGUAGCUGUGCCGAUGAUACUGUUAGACUGGAGAUUAAAUGAGGUUGGCGGAAUGUGUCAUGUAGCGGUGAAAUGCAUAGAUAUGACACAGAACACCGAUAGCGAAGGCAGCUGACCGAUUUACAUCUGACGCUCAU